Molecule: non-coding RNA, 30 nt
Filed under: Mus musculus (house mouse)
Lineage: Eukaryota; Metazoa; Chordata; Mammalia; Rodentia; Muridae
Source: RNAcentral
UCCAAAUCCUAAGCUAGAGUCAAAUGACGA